GAACUGGUGAGUAACACGUGGGAAACCUGCCCAGAAGCGGGGGAUAACACCUGGAAACAGAUGCUAAUACCGCAUAACAACUUGGACCGCAUGGUCCGAGYUUGAAAGAUGGCUUCSGCUAUCACUUUUGGAUGGKCCCGCGGCGUAUUARCUARAUGGKGGGGUAACGGCUCACCAUGGCAAUGAUACKUARCCGACCUGAGAGGGUAAUCSGCCACAUUGGGACUGARACACGGCCCAAACUCCUACGGGAGGSAGCAGUAGGGAAUCUUCCACAAUGGACGAAAGUCUGAUGGAGCAACSCCSCGUGAGUGAAGAAGGGUUUCGGCUCGUAAAACUCUGUUGUUAAAGAARAACAUAUCUGAGAGUAACUGUUCAGGUAUUGACGGUAUUUAACCAGAAAGCCACGGCUAACUACGU
Molecule: ribosomal RNA, 420 nt
Filed under: Lactiplantibacillus plantarum
Lineage: Bacteria; Bacillati; Bacillota; Bacilli; Lactobacillales; Lactobacillaceae
Description: Lactobacillus plantarum partial 16S ribosomal RNA
Rfam family: Bacterial small subunit ribosomal RNA
Source: RNAcentral